AUGAGUAUGCUCACACCUCAGAAGAGGCUCAUCUCUAGUGUCCUCCACUGUGGCGAGAAGAAGGUCUGGUUGGACCCGAUGAGACCAAUGAAAUCCCCAAUGCCAACUUCCGUCAGCAGAUCCGGAAGCUGAUCAAAGAUGGGCUGAUCUUGCGUCACCGCAAGCCUGUGACGGUCCAUUCCCGGGCUCAAUGCUGGAAAAGCACCUUGGCCCGCCGGAAGGGCAGGCACUUGGGCAUAGGUAAGCGGAGGGGUACAGCCAAUGCCUGAAUGCCAGAGAAGGUCACGUGGAUGAGGAGACUGAGGAUUCUGCGCCGGCUGCUCAGAAUCGAAGAAGAUUGAUCGCCACAUGUAUCACAGCCUGUACCUGAAGUUGAAGGGGAAUGUGUUCAAACACAAGCGGAUUCUCACGGAACACAGCCACAAGCUGAAGGCAGACAAAGCCCGCAAGAAGCCCCUGGCUGACCAGGCUGAGGCCCGCGGGUCUAAGACCAAGGAAGCACGCAAGCUCCGUGAAGAGCACCUCCAGACCAAGAAGGAAGAGAUCAUCAAGACUUUGUCCCAGGAGGAAAAGGCCAAGAAAUAA
Molecule: long non-coding RNA, 585 nt
Filed under: Homo sapiens (human)
Lineage: Eukaryota; Metazoa; Chordata; Mammalia; Primates; Hominidae
Description: non-protein coding lnc-PRDM12-1:1
Source: RNAcentral